UACGUAGGGUCCAAGCGUUAUCCGGAAUCACUGGGCGUAAAGCGUGCGUAGGUGGAUUGUUAAGUGCGAUGCGAAAUCCUGUGGCUCAACCAUAUGGACUGUAUCGCAUACUGGCUAUCUAGAGGACAUGAGAGGCAAGUGGAAUUACUGGUGUAGCAGUGAAAUGCGUAGAGAUCAGUAGGAACACCAAUGGCGAAGGCAGCUUGCUGGCAUGUAUCUGACGCUAAGGCACGAAAGCGUGGGGAGCGAACAGG
This 254-nucleotide ribosomal RNA is filed under the name uncultured bacterium. RNAcentral's name for it is "partial 16S ribosomal RNA". It matches the Rfam family "Bacterial small subunit ribosomal RNA", at positions 524 to 776 of the family's 1533-position model. The record is from RNAcentral.